This 3016-nucleotide ribosomal RNA is filed under the name Candidatus Fermentibacterota bacterium. RNAcentral describes it as "23S ribosomal RNA". It matches the Rfam family "Bacterial large subunit ribosomal RNA". Lineage: Bacteria; Pseudomonadati; Candidatus Fermentibacterota. The record is from RNAcentral.
AAAAGCUACUAAGGGCACACGGUGGAUGCCUUGGCACGGACAGGCGACGAAGGACGUGGUAAGCUGCGAUAAGCUUCGGUGAGGUGCAAACAACCCUUGACCCGAAGAUCUCCGAAUGGGGAAACCCGGCCGGGAAGAAUCCCGGUCAUCUCCUUGCUGAACACAUAGGCUUGGAGAGGUUAACCCGGGGAACUGAAACAUCUCAGUACCCGGAGGAAGAGAAAGACAUAUCGAUUCCCCUAGUAGCGGCGAGCGAAAAGGGAAGAGCCCAAACCGAGCGGUGUUUAAGCGUCGCGCGCGUUGCACCGUCGGGGUAGCGGGAAACGCUCGGAGGAGCGCGGUUCUCCUCGGGUCGAAAGCUCUGCUAGCAGAAAGACCUGGAAAGGUCUCCCAGAGAGGGUGAUAGGCCCGUACGCGAAAGCAGUUCCUGGACCUGGAACGUUCUCCCAAGUAGUGCUGGACACGUGGAAUCCGGUACGAAUCUGGCCGGACCAUCGGCUAAGGCUAAAUACUCGUCCGUGACCGAUAGUGAACUAGUACCGUGAGGGAAAGGUGAAAAGUACCCCUGAAGGGGAGUGAAAUAGUACCUGAACCCGUGUGCUUACAAGCGGUCGGAGCCCGUUUCUAGAAAUGGGUGACGGCGUGCCUUUUGCAUAAUGAGCCGGGGAGUUACUCGUGCGUAGCAAGGUUAAGGCCGUAAAAGGCUGGAGCCGAAGGGAAACCGAGUCUGAAUAGGGCGAUUUAGUUGCGCGCGGUAGACCCGAAGCCAGGUGAUCUACCCAUGGCCAGGAUGAAGCUUCGGUAAAACGGAGUGGAGGUCCGAACCCACUAGCGAUGAAAAGCUAGGGGAUGAGCUGUGGGUAGGGGUGAAAGGCCAAACAAACCUGGAGAUAGCUGGUUCUCUUCGAAAUAGCUUUUGGGCUAGCGUUGCGAUCGAGUGUGCUGGAGGUAGAGCACUGGAUGGGCUAGGGGGCCAAAAAACCUACCAACCCCAACCAAACUCCAAAUGCCAGUACAUGCUUCGCGGCAGUCAGGCUGUGGGGGAUAAGCUUCAUAGCCGAGAGGGAAACAACCCAGACCACCAGCUAAGGCCCCUAAGCGUAUGCUGAGUGCAUUAAAGGAAGUGAGAGCGCCGAGACAGCUGGGAUGUUGGCUUAGAAGCAGCCAUACAUUUAAAGAGUGCGUAAUAGCUCACCAGUCAAGCUCUUUCGCGCCGAUAAUAAUCGGGGCUAAGCAUACCGCCGAAGCUGUGGAUUGUAGUUUUUAACUGCAAUGGUAGGAGAGCGUUCCAUUCGCACAGAAGGCAUCCUGUAAGGGGUGUUGGAGCGUAUGGAAGUGAUCAUCCCGGCAUCAGUAGCGACAAAGGAGGUUGGAAACCUCCACACCGAAAACCUAAGGUUUCCUGGGCAAGGCUGAUCCUCCCAGGGUUAGUCGGAUCCUAAGCCGAGGCCGAAAGGCGUAGGCGAUGGCAAGCAGGCAAAUAUUCCUGCACCACCUAUAGAAACGCUCGAGCGAUGGGGUGACGCAGAAGGUAAGGCCAGCCGGGUGAUGGAAAUCCCGGUUCAAGCCCGUAGGGGGGAGAGGCAGGAAAAUCCACCUCUCCACUACCCCGAGAGGUUAUGACGAGAGCCAUAGGCUCGCAAAGUGGUCCCUCCCACGCUGCCAAGAAAAACCUCUAAGCGAGUUUCUUAGGUGACCGUACCGUAAACCAACACAGGUAGGUGAGGAGAGAAUCCUAAGGUGUUCGAGCUAACUGCGGUUAAGGAACUAGGCAAAAUGGUCCCGUAACUUCGGGAGAAGGGACGCCAAGUCCGGUGAUAGCCUUGCGGCUGGAGCUGGAUUUGGCCGCAGAGAAAUGGCCUGGGCGACUGUUUACUAAAAACACAGGUCUCUGCCAAGUCGCAAGACGACGUAUAGGGACUGACACCUGCCCGGUGCUGGAGCGUUAAGGGGACGAGUUAGCCACUUCUACUAGUUGUGGCGAAGCUCCGAACUGAAGCCCCAGUAAACGGCGGCCGUAACUAUAACGGUCCUAAGGUAGCGAAAUUCCUCGUCGGGUAAGUUCCGACCCGCACGAAUGGUGUAACGACUUGGGCGCUGUCUCAACCGCAGGCUCGGCGAAGUUGCAGUAGCGGUGAAGAUACCGUUUACCCGUGGAAGGACGGAAAGACCCCGUGGACCUUUACUGCAUCCUGAUAUUGGGUUUCGCCGGAUCAUGUGCAGGAUAGGCGGGAGACUUUGAAGCCGUGGCGCCAGUUGCGGUGGAGUCAACCUUGAAAUACCGCUCUUGGUUCGUUGGAAUUCUAACGGAGGCCCGUUAUCCGGGUCCCGGACAGUGUCAGGUGGGCAGUUUGACUGGGGUGGUCGCCUCCCAAAGUGUAACGGAGGCGCGCGAAGGUAACCUCGCGUUGGUUGGAAAUCAACGUACGAGUGCAAAGGCACAAGGUUGCUUGACUGCGAGACAUACAGGUCGAGCAGGUACGAAAGUAGGGCUUAGUGAUCCUGCGGUUCCGAGUGGAAGGGCCGUAGCUCACCGGAUAAAAGGUACCCCGGGGAUAACAGGCUCAUCGCCACCGAGAGUUCGCAUCGACGUGGCGGAUUGGCACCUCGAUGUCGGCUCAGCGCAUCCUGGGGCUGGACCAGGUCCCAAGGGUUGGGCUGUUCGCCCAUUAAAGCGCUACGCGAGCUGGGUUUAGAACGUCGUGAGACAGUUCGGUCCCUAUCCUCCACGGGCGUAGGAAGUUUGAGGGGAUCUGCUCUUAGUACGAGAGGACCGGAGUGGACGCACCUCUGGUGUACCAGUUGUCCCGCCAGGGGCACCGCUGGGUAGCUAUGUGCGGACCAGGAUAAGCGCUGAAAGCAUCUAAGUGCGAAACCGGCCCCAAGACUAGACUUCCCGACCCGCAAGGGUCCUGAAGACCACUCGGAGACUACGAGUUUGAUAGGCUGCAGGUGUAAGCACAGCAAUGUGUUCAGCCGAGCAGUACUAAUCGGUCGAGCGGCUUUUUCACACUCU